GACGAACGCUGGCGGCGUGCUUAACACAUGCAAGUCGAACGGAAAGGCCCUGCUUUUGUGGGGUGCUCGAGUGGCGAACGGGUGAGUAACACGUGAGUAACCUGCCCUUGACUUUGGGAUAACUUCAGGAAACUGGGGCUAAUACCGGAUAGGAGCUCCUGCUGCAUGGUGGGGGUUGGAAAGUUUCGGCGGUUGGGGAUGGACUCGCGGCUUAUCAGCUUGUUGGUGGGGUAGUGGCUUACCAAGGCUUUGACGGGUAGCCGGCCUGAGAGGGUGACCGGCCACAUUGGGACUGAGAUACGGCCCAGACUCCUACGGGAGGCAGCAGUGGGGAAUAUUGCACAAUGGGCGGAAGCCUGAUGCAGCAACGCCGCGUGCGGGAUGACGGCCUUCGGGUUGUAAACCGCUUUCGCCUGUGACGAAGCGUGAGUGACGGUAAUGGGUAAAGAAGCACCGGCUAACUACGUGCCAGCAGCCGCGGUGAUACGUAGGGUGCGAGCGUUGUCCGGAUUUAUUGGGCGUAAAGGGCUCGUAGGUGGUUGAUCGCGUCGGAAGUGUAAUCUUGGGGCUUAACCCUGAGCGUGCUUUCGAUACGGGUUGACUUGAGGAAGGUAGGGGAGAAUGGAAUUCCUGGUGGAGCGGUGGAAUGCGCAGAUAUCAGGAGGAACACCAGUGGCGAAGGCGGUUCUCUGGGCCUUUCCUGACGCUGAGGAGCGAAAGCGUGGGGAGCGAACAGGCUUAGAUACCCUGGUAGUCCACGCUGUAAACGGUGGGUACUAGGUGUGGGGUCCAUUCCACGGGUUCCGUGCCGUAGCUAACGCUUUAAGUACCCCGCCUGGGGAGUACGGCCGCAAGGCUAAAACUCAAAGGAAUUGACGGGGCCCCGCACAAGCGGCGGAGCAUGCGGAUUAAUUCGAUGCAACGCGUAGAACCUUACCUGGGUUUGACAUGGAUCGGGAGUGCUCAGAGAUGGGUGUGCCUCUUUUGGGGUCGGUUCACAGGUGGUGCAUGCCUGUCGUCAGCUCGUGUCGUGAGAUGUUGGGUUAAGUCCCGCAACGAGCGCAACCCUUGUUCACUGUUGCCAGCACGUUAUGGUGGGGACUCAGUGGAGACCGCCGGGGUCAACUCGGAGGAAGGUGGGGAUGACGCCAAGUCCUCAUGCCCCUUAUGUCCAGGGCUUCACGCAUGCUACAAUGGCUGGUACAGAGAGUGGCGAGCCUGUGAGGGUGAGCGAAUCUCGGAAAGCCGGUCUCAGUUCGGAUUGGGGUCUGCAACUCGACCUCAUGAAGUCGGAGUCGCUAGUAAUCGCAGAUCAGCAACGCUGCGGUGAAUAAAUUCCCGGGGCU
RNAcentral lists this ribosomal RNA (1346 nucleotides) under uncultured bacterium. Its description in RNAcentral is "bacterial SSU rRNA". It matches the Rfam family "Bacterial small subunit ribosomal RNA", at positions 28 to 1381 of the family's 1533-position model. The record is from RNAcentral.